GCUCCUGCCCGCGGGGCUGGCGGCCCGGACAGAAGCAAAGUACUGAAAGCGGGUCCGUGAGGUUACUUUAUGCCGAUGUUUCGUGCUGUUACGCUAAAGCGGAGCUCGUUGCCGCAGCAGGCGCUGAGAGGCUUUGAUGCAGGCGCUGCCGCCCGGUCCGAACCAUCUGAACAUGGUUACUUAAUGCCCCGAGCAGGCAGCGGCAGCUCAGGCAGGAUGUCACUGCUCCUGGCCACAUCUCCCGCUGGUUCCCUCAGAGGUCAGCCCCCAGCCAGAUGGGCACU
Molecule: non-coding RNA, 284 nt
Organism: Lonchura striata (white-rumped munia)
Lineage: Eukaryota; Metazoa; Chordata; Aves; Passeriformes; Estrildidae
Source: RefSeq, a predicted model, not a curated record